Molecule: ribosomal RNA, 850 nt
Filed under: uncultured bacterium
Lineage: Bacteria
Description: bacterial SSU rRNA
Rfam family: Bacterial small subunit ribosomal RNA
Source: RNAcentral
AGAGUUUGAUCCUGGCUCAGGAUGAACGCUGGCGGCGUGCUUAACACAUGCAAGUCGAACGGAGUUUAUAAGCCGGAAGUUUCGGCGGAAGGUUUGUAAACUUAGUGGCGGACGGGUGAGUAACGCGUGGGUAACCUGCCGUAUACAGGGGGAUAACACUUAGAAAUAGGUGCUAAUACCGCAUAAGCGCACAGCCUCGCAUGGGGCAGUGUGAAAAGCCCUGACGGUAUACGAUGGACCCGCGUCUGAUUAGCUUGUUGGCGGGGUAACGGCCCACCAAGGCGACGAUCAGUAGCCGGCCUGAGAGGGUGACCGGCCACAUUGGGACUGAGACACGGCCCAAACUCCUACGGGAGGCAGCAGUGGGGAAUAUUGCACAAUGGGGGAAACCCUGAUGCAGCGACGCCGCGUGAGUGAAGAAGUAUUUCGGUAUGUAAAGCUCUAUCAGCAGGGAAGAAAAUGACGGUACCUGACCAAGAAGCCCCGGCUAACUACGUGCCAGCAGCCGCGGUAAUACGUAGGGGGCAAGCGUUAUCCGGAUUUACUGGGUGUAAAGGGAGCGUAGACGGUGAUGCAAGUCUGGUGUGAAAACCCGGGGCUCAACCCCGGGAUUGCAUUGGAAACUGUGUGACUGGAGUGCAGGAGAGGUAAGCGGAAUUCCUAGUGUAGCGGUGAAAUGCGUAGAUAUUAGGAGGAACACCGGUGGCGAAGGCGGCUUACUGGACUGUAACUGACGUUGAGGCUCGAAAGCGUGGGGAGCAAACAGGAUUAGAUACCCUGGUAGUCCACGCCGUAAACGAUGAUUACUAGGUGUCGGGAGACAAGGUCUUCCGGUGCCGCCGCUAACGCA